This is a long non-coding RNA of Oreochromis niloticus (Nile tilapia), 249 nucleotides long. RefSeq lists it as uncharacterized. NCBI's taxonomy places the organism in Eukaryota, Metazoa, Chordata, Actinopteri, Cichliformes, Cichlidae. The transcript is spliced from 2 exons. The record is from RefSeq and is a predicted model, not a curated record.
GGAGUACAAAAGGACAGCUAUAUAAUGCGAUGUCUUCUGUGUGAGCCAAAGCAAACCGACGUCUCAGCGUACAAAAACUCAACAUCUAACCUGAGGAAACAUGUUGCGAGGGUUCACUCCAACAAAUUGAGGAUGUAUACGGAAUUAAUGGACAGCCACAGAAAACGAAAGUCAUCCUCUUCUACCGAGCCACCUAUGAAGAACGCAAAACUUACAGACUCUUUCACUGGCUCUAGGCGAAUAACACAA